UACGUAGGGUGCGAGCGUUAAUCGGAAUUACUGGGCGUAAAGGGUAUGUAGGCGGUAAAGUAAGACCGAUGUGAAAUACCUGAGCUCAACUUAGGAACGGCAUAGGUGACUGCAUUGCUAGAGUGAGUCAGAGGGGGGUAGAAUUCCACGUGUAGCAGUGAAAUGCGUAGAGAUGUGGAGGAAUACCGAUGGCGAAGGCAGCCCCCUGGGAUAACACUGACGCUGAGGUACGAAAGCGUGGGGAGCAAACAGG
Molecule: ribosomal RNA, 253 nt
Filed under: uncultured bacterium
Lineage: Bacteria
Description: partial 16S ribosomal RNA
Rfam family: Bacterial small subunit ribosomal RNA
Source: RNAcentral